This 440-nucleotide ribosomal RNA is filed under the name uncultured bacterium. Its description in RNAcentral is "partial 16S ribosomal RNA". It matches the Rfam family "Bacterial small subunit ribosomal RNA", at positions 338 to 795 of the family's 1533-position model. The record is from RNAcentral.
CCUACGGGAGGCAGCAGUAGGGAAUAUUGCUCAAUGGGGGAAACCCUGAAGCAGCAACGCCGCGUGGAGGAAGAAGGUUUUCGGAUUGUAAACUUCUUUUGUCAGAGAAGAAAAUGACGGUAUCUAACGAAUAAGCACCGGCUAACUCCGUGCCAGCAGCCGCGGUAAUACGGAGGGUGCAAGCGUUAUCCGGAAUCACUGGGGGUAAAGGGCGCGUAGGCGGGAGUGCAAGUCAGAUGUGAAAUCCGAUGGCUUAACCAUAGGACUGCAUUUGAAACUGUUCUUCUGGAGUGUGGGAGAGGUAAGUGGAAUUCUUGGUGUAGGGGUGAAAUCCGUAGAGAUCAAGAGGAAUACUCGUGGCGAAGGCGGCCUGCUGGAACGUAACUGACGCUGAUGCGCGAAAGCGUGGGGAGCAAACAGGAUUAGAUACCCGAGUAGUC